This 349-nucleotide transfer-messenger RNA is filed under the name Lentisphaeria bacterium. RNAcentral describes it as "partial transfer-messenger RNA". It matches the Rfam family "transfer-messenger RNA". Rfam says of the family: Bacterial tmRNA, also known as 10Sa RNA or SsrA, is named for its dual tRNA and mRNA-like properties. Its role is to liberate the mRNA from a stalled ribosome. The record is from RNAcentral. Lineage: Bacteria; Pseudomonadati; Lentisphaerota; Lentisphaeria.
GGGGGUGUUCCGGAUUCGACCGGCGCGGUAGGGGAUUGACUGCAUACCGGAGAUGAUCGUUGGCUCCGCAAAAAUCGAUCAAACCAAUAACUGCGAACGAAGAGUACGCACUGGCGGCUUAAUUUCCCGCCACGUCGUUGUGUCUGACGGACGCUAAGACAUAAACGGCGUCAUCCAGCGUUCUGGUCAUCUUCCGGGUCACUCGGGAAGGAGACGAGAAAUCAAGAGUGAAUAGUCGGCAAGCGGAUCUGUCCGCCGAUACCCCAGCAGACGAUAAACGAACAUCAGACGGACUAAGUAUGUAGAUGUCAAUACUUGAUUGCGUCGGCACAGGGGUUCAACUCCCCUC